UAUUUUUUUAUUUGCAGCAGCCCCAGUCAUUUUUAUUUCCAGCCAGCCAUUCCGAAUCCAAUUUUUGUUGUUCUCAGGCCAAUUUAAUUCCCAGAGAGAAAAAAACAUUUCAGCCAGCCCACUCCCUAUUCCCAGUCCAAAACACGUCACGCCUCAAGGACAAUCGAGCCGAUAAUGUCCGUCCACUUCCCCUUUCCUCUUUCAGAAUAGGUUAAAAACUCAGAAAAGUAGGUCUGGUCUCCCUUAAUUGGUGAAAGGUUUUGAAUUUCGAAUUGAGCCCUCUCAUCCUUUUUUUUUUGGAACCCUAGAUUUUCUUUUUUAUAUAUGCCAACUAAUUAGUCAUUGUGAGGGGAGGAUAUUUAUUUUGUUGGGUUAUUACCUAGCAAGAAAAUACAAAGAAAGCUUGAGCAAAAAUACUCUAAAUACAGACUAAAUACUUUUCGAAAAGCAGAGAAUACCAUAUCUUCAGUAUUUGAGUUACAUUUUGUGCUUCAAUCUUUGAUCGUAGUUCGUGGUUGAGUUCUCGUUGUAGGAAGAUAUUUUCCUCACUCUCUCCAUCCCUGUUUGCUGCAAAAACAAGUUUCUCAGCACCCAGAUCACGCAUAAAUCGAUCUUCGAUAUUUAGUUCAGCAGAUUCAGUGCAGGGUUAGCUUGGGAUCACUUGUGGCCCUAGGUUCCUUGUCCGCAUCUUGGGGUAGCUUGAGGCGUGACAGUAAGCAGAACACGACGAAAGUGACAAACUGGACAAGUAACCAGAAGGAAAAAAUGGAAUGCUUAAAGAUGGAGUUGUAGACAAAGAAAAUUAAUGUUCAUCGAUAUGGUUUUUUGAACAAUUCAAAAAUACAUCCAGCAAGCAUGGAAAAAUAUGUGUUGUAUUAGAUACAAAUUAAAGUAUUAUGAAUAGUGUCAGCAUUUUAUUUUCAAAUGUAUCUCAUUGCACAUGCAUGUGACAUCUUUUGAAGAAUGUCUGUACAUACAUCAGGAGGAGUAGAACAACCCUAUAUUCUACAUUAUGACUAAGACUUAUCGAAAGAAGGAUUUUGAUCAAUUAAUGGCUAAGGUGGAAAUGGUUGAUCAUAGAGUUAAGGAGUACCUAGAGGGUGCUAGGUAUGGGAAGUGGUCGAGAGUUCAUUUAACAGUAAAUAGAGGCAGAAUGAUGACUUCGAACAUCGCAGAAUGUAUCAAUAACUGCCUCGACAGUUCUCUAUAUUAAUAUUUUUUAGAGGCUAGAAUUCUUUUUUGUUCUUGAAACAGUCAAAACAGAGAAAUAUCCUCACAUAUAAAGGAUACAUUGAAAAGAAUAUUUAAGGAAAUAUUUAUUGUAAAUUCACAUAAAGGUUGAAAGAUGCGGGUAUUCUAAGGAUACAUACAUUACUAUAUAUUUUAUGCAUUUGAUAUGGUGUGUCAUUUUGUUGUUUUACCAACAUUACUUUGAAAAAAUUGAAAAU
Solanum lycopersicum (tomato) is the source of this 1448-nucleotide non-coding RNA. The record is from RefSeq and is a predicted model, not a curated record. Lineage: Eukaryota; Viridiplantae; Streptophyta; Magnoliopsida; Solanales; Solanaceae.